This 546-nucleotide long non-coding RNA is filed under the name Physcomitrium patens. RNAcentral's name for it is "long non-coding RNA (PPAT_LNC001164)". The record is from RNAcentral. Lineage: Eukaryota; Viridiplantae; Streptophyta; Bryopsida; Funariales; Funariaceae.
CGGGUUCCGUCGUGAGUACAUUCAUCCUCAUCCACACACCUCUCCUGUCCGCUCGUCCCCCCCUUCCUCUGCACACUUUUGCUUUUUCGGUCUAAAUGUGUGAGAGUGAGAGUGUUGUUAGAUGUGUUCGUCCUUCCUGUGUCUGUCUAUUAUAUUAUAUGGUUUCGGAGGAUGGCAAAAUGUUGAUGGGAUGUAUAGAUUUGCAUUGUUAGGGUUUGCAUGGAAUGAAUGCUCUUUCCGGAUGGUGUUGGUUAGUGGCUUCAAUGUAAGCUCACGUGCCUGUAAUAAAGCAUGUGUGUAAUAUAUUAUUGUAACCAAGAGCCAAUUUAGAAUAAUGAGAAUAUUCUAUUUCAGAUAACUACAAUGACUUGCUCAAUUUAAACGUAAUCCCAUCGAAACAGAUUCCUUUCAUGGAGGAUGUACUGCUAACGAUUCUUAAUUCAGAAAGGCUACAAAUUAGCAGUUAGUUAUUUUCCAUUCUUUAUUUAUUUAUUUGUUUGUUUAUUUAUUUUUAUUUAAAGUUAAAAAUCCUCCACAUAUAGGCAC